CAGGUAGGCGGCAGCCAAAGUCGGACGUGAAAGCUCCUGGCUUAACCGGGAGAGGCCGUUCGAAACUAGGAGGCUAGAGGGUGGUAGAGGCGUGUGGAAUUCCGGGUGGAGUGGUGAAAUGCGUAGAGAUCCGGAGGAACACCAGAGGCGAAGGCGGCACGCUGGGCCACACCUGACGCUGAGCUGCGAAAGCGUGGGUAGCGAACG
Molecule: ribosomal RNA, 207 nt
Filed under: uncultured bacterium
Lineage: Bacteria
Description: partial 16S ribosomal RNA
Rfam family: Bacterial small subunit ribosomal RNA
Source: RNAcentral